UGGGCGUGACUUUCUGUAAAUCUUGGACACUCGCGUUGUUCGCGUAUUAUCUCCUCAUUUCUUGUCAUAUCUCCUAUUGGACUCUGAUGUUUAAGUUGUGCGGUGAUGACAAGCACUUUCACUUUUAAAGUAACAGUCGCAAAACCUGGACGAAUCGUGUGAAGUGCUUCAUAAAGCCUGUUUUCCUCCGGACCAGUCUUCUAGGUUUUCUCAGCCAGAGGCUCUUUGAUAAUGUUGGAGUGUUUAUUGACGAUCUUUCUGGGCUUUAUCUCCGUGCUGCUGUUCUGCGCUUUCUGCGGACGCAGAAGGAAGGACGGUGAGCCGCCGCUGAUUAAAGGCUGGAUUCCAUUCAUGGGAAAAGCUUUAGAAUUCAGAAAAAACUCUCAGCAGUUUCUUACACAACUGCAGCAGGAGCAUGGAGAUAUUUUUACUGUACUUAUAGCAGGAAGGUACAUAACAUUCAUAAUGAACCCCCUCCAGUACCCGUCUGUGAUCAAACAUGGAAAACAGCUGGAUUUUCACACGUUUUCAGACAGCGCAGCAUCCAGGACGUUUGGUUACCCACCGGUCCUGAGUGGCCUCUUCCCUGGAAUGAAUGACAGCCUCAAGCGGAGUUACACUCUGCUGCAGGGGCCUGCCCUCGACCCGCUCAUGUUCAGCAUGAUGGGAAACUUACAGCAGGUCCUGCGACGCCGUUUUCUGCCCAGUGAAGCGUCUGGGUCUGAUGGCGACUGGCAAGAGGCGGAACUAUAUGAGUUCUGUAAAUGCGUAAUGUUUCAGACCACAUUUAACACGCUAUAUGGACAUUCGUCAAAUCUGCAUCUGGAUCAGCUGCGAGAGGACUUUGAGAAGUUCGAUGCCAUUUUCCCUUUACUAAUGGCCUGUGUUCCCAUCGCCUUGCUGGGAAAGACCAAAGAAAUUCGUGAGAAGCUGACAAGAUUUUUCCAUCCUCAAAGAAUGGCAGAAUGGAGGGCUCCAUGCGAGUUCAUACAGACCCGAACGGCCCUGUUCCAGGAGUAUGACACGCUUCAGGACAGAGAUAAAGCAGCACAUCAUUUUGCCAUGCUGUGGGCAUCAGUGGGAAACACUAUCCCAGCAGCCUUCUGGUGUCUUUACCACCUCAUCUCCUGCCCGGAAGCCCUUGAAGCAGUGAGAGCAGAGAUUGUCAAUGUGGUUGGAGAGAAGAACAUGCAGUUGGUCUUUGAAGAAGACAUCACAAUUACACGACAGCAACUAGAACAGAUGGUUUACCUGGAGAGUUCAGUAAACGAGAGUUUACGUCUCUCCUCUGUAUCAAUGAACAUCCGUGUGGUUCAGGAAGAUUUCUAUUUGCGUCUGGAUGCCCAGCAUUCAAUCAACGUACGAAAAGAUGACAUUGUUGCUCUUUACCCACAAACCACACACCUUGACCCUGAAAUAUACGAUCAGCCUCAGCGCUUCCAAUUUGACCGUUUUGUGGAGGAUGGGAAGGAAAAAACAGAUUUUUAUAAAUGUGGCCAGAAGGUCCGGUACUACCGUAUGCCUUUCGGCUCUGGAGCCACACAGUGUCCAGGGCGGUUUUUUGCGAUGAAUGAGCUGAAGCAGUUUGUGUGUGUGGCCUUGCUCAUGUGGGAAAUGCAGUGGCUGGAGAACCAGCAGGAGGCGAUGCUAGACAACAGCCGUGCUGGUCUGGGCAUCAUGCCACCUGCUAAUCAAAUCACUUUCAGAUACAGAACUAGAAAACCAGGGGACAGUAUGAAGAGGGAUGAAUUAACUAAAUGAAUAGAGAGUGACUGUCGUCUGGUCAGUGCUUGUGUAUUUUCCUUUCAUUUUUUCACAGGUAUACACUGCAGUUUGAAUCAGGGUUGAUGCAUUACAGUGAACAGCUUUCUUUGUAUAGUAUCUCACAGAAGCGAGUACACCCCUCACAUUUUUGUAAAUAUUUUAUUAUAUCUUU
Sinocyclocheilus grahami is the source of this 1936-nucleotide RNA transcript. It is a transcript of the gene named cytochrome P450, family 7, subfamily B, polypeptide 1, with no coding region annotated. NCBI's taxonomy places the organism in Eukaryota, Metazoa, Chordata, Actinopteri, Cypriniformes, Cyprinidae. The record is from RefSeq and is a predicted model, not a curated record. The transcript has 7 exons.